CCAUUCUGACUCAUGGAUCUGGUAGAGGAAGCUUCAGUGGGCUUCGCAACAGAAAGGGCCUCAAACAGAAGAGCAAGAUAAAUAUGCAGGCACUUUUCUACAGGCUGUGCAUCCCAGACCUUUGUGUCUUUUUGCUUAGGGGAGGAAAAGGACUUGUCCAAUGGGACUUUGAGCUAUUCUGCUGUCAGCUGCUUUUCGGCUUUCACAAAGGCUUGAUCCUGAAGUUACCAUUGAUUUCAGUAAUGGGCCUUCUACGCACCCUUUUCCCCACAACCACUUACCGACAUGGGAACACGGUCAUAAUAUCCAGCAAUUUGCAAUACUACUGGAUGCUGUUGUACCUGAAUGGUCUCAGUAUAUGAGAAAAGCAAGGCCUACACAAGUAAGCAUCUUUAAUAAAUCCAUUUAUAUAGCUGGGGAAAGUGGGCA
RNAcentral lists this long non-coding RNA (429 nucleotides) under Apteryx rowi (Okarito brown kiwi). RNAcentral's name for it is "lncRNA (ENSARWG00000006552.1)". Lineage: Eukaryota; Metazoa; Chordata; Aves; Apterygiformes; Apterygidae. The record is from RNAcentral.